GUGUAGUUGAGUGAGAUGCCUACUUCUACCAAAAGAGAGUGAAUGUCUCUGCUGUUGACAAUGGGACCAGUUUAUUCUGAUAAUGGAGGAGGUAGAACAUCAGACUGACGACGGGUCCUCACCCUGGAGUGGAUGUUGAGGGGAGAACAUCUAGGUCAAGGCCAACGACAGGUCCUCACCCUGGAGUGGAUGCUGAGGGGAGAACAUCUAGGUCAAGGCCAAUGACGGGUCCUCACCCUGGAGUGGAUGUUGAGGGGAGAACAUCUAAGUCAAGGCCAACGACAGGUGAUCCCAGCUUUUGGUGGCAGCAGUUAUAUCUAACUACCCCGACCCCAACAGCAGCUACAUUGGAUUCCAGGAAGCUGAGGCUCAUAGCGUCUUAGACAAAUAGCAUUUUCAAGAAAUAACAUUGUAGUUCAAAUGUUUUAUUAACAAUUUAAUGUUAUUAUUAAACAUAAAACAACAUUUACACAGUUACUAAGCAAUUCACAGUGUCACUCAGCAGUAGUUAGACCAGGGAUUUACACACAUCUACCUAGAGAGCAACCAUCUUGUAGAGUUUCACUCCAACAGCUGGGCUUGAUUAGGGUUGGAUUGACAACCUACAGGGCGGUAGGUCUCUAGGUACAGUGUUUGAGAACCUACAGGACGGUAGGUCUCUAG
Molecule: long non-coding RNA, 663 nt
Organism: Oncorhynchus tshawytscha (Chinook salmon)
Lineage: Eukaryota; Metazoa; Chordata; Actinopteri; Salmoniformes; Salmonidae
Source: Ensembl